RNAcentral lists this long non-coding RNA (26662 nucleotides) under Triticum aestivum (bread wheat). RNAcentral's name for it is "long non-coding RNA (TAES_LNC009340)". Lineage: Eukaryota; Viridiplantae; Streptophyta; Magnoliopsida; Poales; Poaceae. The record is from RNAcentral.
GUUUGCCCUUAAUGUUCAAAGUAUGGUCGGUAGAAUGGUAGGAACUUAUGUCUACUUUUGUAUAUUAACAGUAGCUAGUCCAAAUAGAUGUUGGUUUAUCAAGAUUCCAUGAAAACAUGAUGCAUGCACUGCACUAGGAUCAAUUUAUUUCUUCUAUCACCAAUUCAUCAUGACCUAGCACACCAUAAAGACUUGGUAAAAAAGUACAAAAUACAAAGACACGCAUAUGCACGAGAUCUAUUAAGCAGUGACAGCGAUCUUCAUGCCUUGCUGGCAGUGACCCGGAAGGCUGCAGAUGAAGAACGCUUUGCCUCCGUGGGAGAGCUGGAUGUGGUCAUUGCCGGAGGUGUAGGUCCUCGACGGGCCCGAGACCCUGCAUGAGUUGUAGUCGCCUUCUCCCACCUGCACCACAUUGUGCAUACCCGGGUUGUACUUGAACACUGCGUGCAUUAGUUAACACAAGAAUACAUAUCAGAACACAGUAUAUACAUCAAGAACAACCAAUCACUUGAUCUUUAGAGUUCUCACCAAGCACGUCACCGGACUGGAUGUGCUUGCCACUCUCCCAUCCGGAGACGCCGAAGCUCCAUCCCUUGUUGUCACCAACGGUCCACUCCUUGCCAUGGACGACGGUGGUUGCGCAGCAAACGACCAGAAGCAGCACCAAAAGGGUGGGUACCAUGGUUGCCCGAGCCAUUGAUGGUGUUGCUCUUGACUUCUUGUUGAUACCGAAGAUCACAAGAAUAGAAAAGUGAAAUAGUGGUCGAUUCCUCAAGUGACGGCUUGCGUUCGGUCACCUUCUCGUAUGAUAUAUAUAGGCGGUCAACUAAAAUCAUUGUUUUAAUGUGCUCAAAUAAUGAGAAUCUUGCCUUAAAUAAGACAAAUCAAUAUAUGUGAUAUGCAACAUUAGUUAGUAUAUGCUACGAAAUCCUCCAACUUAUAUAAUCCGAUCUUGGAUUAGUGGAAAUGAACGAGGCAUUUAUUUCCUACUUUCACGAUUUAGUAAAUAUUUCUUUUUCCUGGAUGCAUUAGUUGUAUAUCAGAUAUUUAUAUAUACUAGUAUUAGAUGAUAUAAUUGUAACAAGAAAAUUUUAAAAUACAAAAUUCUUUUUUAUAAGGAGAAGUCCCUAAUCUUGACUUUUAAACCAUAGCUGCUAAAGCGAUUGGAGGCCAUGAUUUGCGAUUGUUUAGUCUAAAAUAAUUUGAAGUUGAUAGGAAUAUUUUUAAUAAAUGGAUUUCAAAUGAAUUUAAGAAGUUGGAAAAUCGAAUGCAUUAGGUUCAUAUAAGAAUUUUAGGCUAGGUUAAUUUGGAACCAUUGAAAAAGAAAAGAGCCCCGAUUGGUUAACAAAGCAGUAAACCCGAGGAGAUUCAGAAGGAUCUAACUGAGAGGAAAAUUUGUGAGACUUAUCAAGAACUUGUAGCCACUUGGGACAGAGACGAUGACCUUAAGGGCGCCCUCCGUGAAAACUCCGCAGCUACUCCUGAUCGACGAAAUUAGCCCUAAACUAACCAUCCUCGCACAAAUUGGAAUGAACUACUUAUAACCCUCAAGUAUAGGGGAUCGCGAUAGUGUUCAAGGGUAUUAUUUCACCCAAAUCUAUUUAUUCAACACAAGGGGAGCCAAAGAAUAUUUAUGAGCCUUAGCAGUUGAGUUGUCAAUUCAACCACACCUGGGAAAUUAUAUUUCUGCAACAAAGUGUUUAGUAACAUGGUAGUUUGAUAGUUUUGAUAGUAGCAGUAACAGUAGCAAUAGUAACAGGAACAGUAACAAUAGCAGUUUGUGAUGAUUGUAACAACAACAACAAUAGUAACUUAGCAAAUACCAAUAUGAGAAAAGCAUAGGAAUUGGGUCAGGCGAUGCAUAUUUGUGUUGGAUGACACUCAUCAUAUAGCAGUCACAACCUAGAGUGAUACACAAUAGCUCCAAUUCGUCAAUGUAAUAUAGGCAUGUAUUCCGUAUAUAGUCAUACACGCUUAUAAUAAGAAAUUGCAUGACAUCUUUUGUCCUACCUUCCCGUGGCAACGGGGUCCGUAAGGAAACUAAGAGAUAUUAAGGCCUCCUUGCAAUAAUGAACCGGAACAAAACAUUACCACAUGGUGAAUACAUGAACUCCUCGAAUUACAGUCAUUCCCAGAGAGUAUCCCAAUUAUUGUCACUUUGGGGUCUAAGGACCAGAACAAUAACAAGAGCAUAUAACUAGCAGAUAGGAUCAGGAACUCAAAUAUUUUCAUGAAAACAUAGAGGGUUCAUAUCUGAAAUCAUGGUACUCGGGUCCUAGUGAGAAGCAUUAAGCAUAUCAAAGUCAUAGCAAUAUCAAUCUCGGAACAUAGUGGAACUAGGGAUCAAGCCCUAACAAAUUGAAUCGAUUACAUGACAAAUCUCAUGCAACUCCAUCACCGUCCAGCAAUCCUAUGAAGCAAUUACUCACUCCCGGUGGUGAGCAUCAUGGAAUUGUUGAUGAUGAUGACGACGACGAAUCCCGCUCUUCGGAGCCCCGAACAAACUCAUCAGCCCUCCGAAUGAAGAACAGGAGGUGUCGGCAGCUCCGUCUCGCAAAACAUGAUGAAACUUUCUCUCAGAUUUUUCUCUCCGUGAGACGAUAUUUAUGGAGUUGGAAUUAGGGCAAACGGAGGCUUGUGGGGCCCAUGAGCUCACAAGGCGCUCCUUGGGAGGGAUUUGGUGGGCAUGCCCCCUGAGCUCAUGGUUCCUGAGUGGCCCCCUCUAGUAGGUCUCUUCGCCAAUAUUUUUCAUAUUUUUCAGAAAUAAUCUCUGUAAAAUUUCAGCCCAAUCUGAGAGCUUUUAUUUCCGCACAAAAAUAAGACCAUGACGAUUCUACUGAAAAAAGCGUCAAUCCAGGUUAGUUUUAUUCAAAUCAUGCAAAUUAGAGUCCAAAACAAGAGGAAAAGUGUUUGGAAAAGUAGAUACGUUUGGGAUUAUCAACUCCCCAAGAUUAUCUCAUUGCUUGUCCUCAAGGAAUUUAGUAGAUAAACUGAAAGUGAUAAAGAAAAACUUCUACAAAGUCUUUUGUUCUCGAUGUUGUAUAGAUGCGUAACUAGUGUUCAAUUUUUCAGUAAAGAUUAUGAACUAACCACAUGAAUGAUAACACUUAGGUCUCAUUUUUACUCAUGACAAUAGCGCAACCAACUAAUGAGCAAUAAUAAGAUAUCUCGGAUGCCAACAAUUUGUCAAAAUAAUUAAGAUAUACUAUAUCACUAAGCUCCCUAGGAUUGGAGGCUUCAUGUGAUGCCCGGAUAAUUAAGCUACAGUAAACCCCUGCUAAUGAUCCCAGGUCAUCACAUUACUGUUGCUAAUCCUCCCUUGAUCCAAAUCUUAGUUCAAACUCAAAUUUAAAUUAAAGCCCAGAAUUCAAAUUUCUCAAACACGCAAAAUAAAAUGUUCAAAGUGUGGCAAAUAUUGCAUAACGAAUUAUGGUGGUGACCCAACACUUUUGUAAAGUAUUUAGAUGCCCUUUUGUGAAUAUAACAGUGACUAAAACAACCACAUUAGUCUUAUUACUUUUGUAAAAAAAAAUCAAAUGAAUUCAAUUAUUACCCCAACCAUUUCUGGCCGUGUAUAAAUAAGCAAUGCUAAUUAUGGACCAAGUUCUAUGUUUUAUAAAACUAGUUUACUACUAAAAAUAAAAGUAAAGCAGAAAAGAAAAUAGUAAAAACAAAGAAAAUAAAAGGAAUAAAAAGCCCCCUCCCCCUCACUGCCAUGGGCCUCAGUCCACAGUGGCAGGCCUCAGCCCAACCGCCAAACCCCCACCCUCGGUCGCCUUCUACUGCUCGACCGACCGCUCGGUCGCGGUCGCCACCCGACCGGCUCGCCAGCUUUGUCGGCGAGGGGAUAAGAUCCCCCGACGCCUCGACCCCCUCGUCCCCCUGCCCCAUUCGCCCCACUCCCCUCUCUCCUCCUCGCGCCCCCUUCCCAGAUCCACUCGUCCCUUUCCCCUCGCUGUUCUCUACGCGAGCGCCUNNNNNNNNNNNNNNNNNNNNNNNNNNNNNNNNNNNNNNNNNNNNNNNNNNNNNNNNNNNNNNNNNNNNNNNNNNNNNNNNNNNNNNNNNNNNNNNNNNNNNNNNNNNNNNNNNNNNNNNNNNNNNNNNNNNNNNNNNNNNNNNNNNNNNNNNNNNNNNNNNNNNNNNNNNNNNNNNNNNNNNNNNNNNNNNNNNNNNNNNNNNNNNNNNNNNNNNNNNNNNNNNNNNNNNNNNNNNNNNNNNNNNNNNNNNNNNNNNNNNNNNNNNNNNNNNNNNNNNNNNNNNNNNNNNNNNNNNNNNNNNNNNNNNNNNNNNNNNNNNNNNNNNNNNNNNNNNNNNNNNNNNNNNNNNNNNNNNNNNNNNNNNNNNNNNNNNNNNNNNNNNNNNNNNNNNNNNNNNNNNNNNNNNNNNNNNNNNNNNNNNNNNNNNNNNNNNNNNNNNNNNNNNNNNNNNNNNNNNNNNNNNNNNNNNNNNNNNNNNNNNNNNNNNNNNNNNNNNNNNNNNNNNNNNNNNNNNNNNNNNNNNNNNNNNNNNNNNNNNNNNNNNNNNNNNNNNNNNNNNNNNNNNNNNNNNNNNNNNNNNNNNNNNNNNNNNNNNNNNNNNNNNNNNNNNNNNNNNNNNNNNNNNNNNNNNNNNNNNNNNNNNNNNNNNNNNNNNNNNGUUGCCCCUUGCCGCUGCAGCCGCGCCAUCGCGCGCCGCGUCGUUCCCCCACCCGCGUCCCUCCUCCUCGCCGGAGGCCACCCGCCCCGGGGCCGCCACCGGCCGCAGCCAUGGCUUCGCCGGCCCUGCUGGGUGAGCGCCGACCCCCGGCGCGCUUAUUAACCCGCCCCGCUAGGCCACUUGCCUAUGUCAGGUGGGGCCCAACCCCCCCUUAAAAAGAAAUUAAAAAUAUUUUUUAAGAAAAAAUUAAAAUAAUUAAUUAGUUAAUUAAUUAAUUAGUUGGGUAAUUAAUUAACUUAAUUAACCUUGCUUAAUUAGCCUAAUGAACUAGAUUAGUCUAAUUAAACCUGCUCAAUUAGUUGAGUCAAUGACAGAUGGGCCCCACCCCCUGUUGACCAAUCAAACGUUGACUGGUCAACUGGGACCCCCUGGACCCGCAUGUCACCCUCUGGUACACCUCGGUGUACACAGAUCUGGGUGCACAUAGCAUUUUACUUAUUUAAUUUUGAAUUAAUAACAAAUUCAAAAUAUUGUUUAAAUCUUUGAAAAAUCCUAGAAAAUAAUCCAUAACUCGGAUGAAAAAGUUUUAUACAUGAAAGUUGCUCAGAAAAAUGUGGCGACUCCGAAUACGCAGUCCGUUCAUCUGUCACGCAUCCCUAGCAUAGAGAACAUGCAACCUUUCCCCUCCGUUUCAUUUGUCCAAAAAUGCCUAACUCCGGGGAAACUUUUCGGACGUUAUCCCCCUUCGCCGGUACCGGGUAACAUCGUGUUAGAACACCCCUAGCGCUGCUUAUUGCCUUGUCAUGCUUAGUAUUGCACUUGUUUGCCCUGUAUUUACUGUGUUUUCCCCCUCUUCUCUCCGGUAGACCCCGAGACCGCUGCUGAUGCCCCUGUGAUCGACUACGUCGACGACGACCCUUCUCCCCUUUCAUCGGAGCUUCCAGGCAAGCCCCCCUUUGAUCAUCCCGAUAUCGCCCAUUCCAUUCUCUCAUGCUUGCAUUAGAUUUUGCUACUGUUAUUGUUUGCUCCUAUUCUGAUGCAUAGCCUGCUUUUGUACCUGCUAUUGUUACCUACCUGCUUGUCCUAAACUGCUUAGUAUAGGUUGGUUAGAGAUCCAUCAGUGACCCCCACUUGUCCUUGUUGCCCCUGCUUCAUCAUCGACGCCUCGAUCAACGUGAUCGACGACCAGAGCCUGACACCUCACAUCACAUCACGCCCCUUUAGUUGCUCGACUCUGCAGAGAUACUAUCGAGUGCCGAGGGUGAUCCCUCAUAACGCACUCCUGAUGAUAAUUCUGUAGUGUAGCUAUUCGGUCGUGGUCAACGGGGGUGGUUCCUCUUUCACCAUUCCUGAUACGGCUCUGUCGUGCAACACCUCAAGUGUGAACCUCGAGGGUGGUCCCUCUUACGUUCACCUUGAUGUUUACAUUGAGUGGAAUCCACCGGGGGUGAUUCCUGGUUUUCUUCCUUGAUGUUUUGGACACACUAUUACCUUGACUUUACUUGAGACCAUUGUUGAAGUCGGGUCGGCCCUGGAGAGCACCCGUGCGAUGUGAAAGUGGCGGCUGGCUGUUUAGCGGUAUCACCCAGGAAGGGGUGAUAGUUCCGGACUUGUCCCGACAGCCGUCACUACUUUAAUUGUUAAUGCACUAACUGGUUUGGGUAUUUGUUCUGAAUUGGCCUUUGGCCUUUGCGCACUAACCACCACGCGAGAAUAGUUAUGGGCCUCGACGUCGCAGUAUCAGCCGAAGCUUUGUCAGACGUCCAUUUCAGCUUUGCGGCACGGCUGGGCCGGCACCAUCCCGUAGUGGUGGAGCCUGGACCCGCCCUGCAUGUAACGACCCGGAGUGCAACGAGCGAUGGGCCCAGACCCCGGAGUGCUUAGGAUGUAGACCGGCGGGGACCUCUCUGCUGAGCCUAGGUAGGGUUGCGACGUGUUGAUCUUCUGAGGCCGGGCAUUGACCCCAGAAAGGUGUGUCCGGCCAGAGUGAUCGAGCGUGUUGGAAAACAUGGUGCACCCCUGCAGGGAAGAUAUAUAUUCGAAUACCGUGUCCACGGUAAUGGACGUUCAGACUUGUAUCCUGAUCUUAUACAACUAGAAAUGGAUACUUGAUAUGUGAUGGAUAUGUGGCCCCGGGAUUGCUUUCUCGUAGGGAGUCGAGGAAGGAUCUCUGGGCGUUAAUGCUACGACAUGUUUGUUAAAUAUAAACUACUAUUCUUUACUCGUCUACAUGCUGCAAGAUGCUUGGAGCUACUUGAAGAUGCUAGUCUUCGAUAGGCUAGGCCUUCCCCCCUAUUCUUGUUGGAAAUAUGCCCUAGAGGCAAUAAUAAAUGGUUAUUAUUAUAUUUCUUUGUUCAUGAUAAUCGUCUAUUGUUCAUGCUAUAAUUGUAUUGUCCGGAAAUCGUAAUACAUGUGUGAAUGCAUAGACCACAACGUGUCCCUAGUAAGCCUCUAGUUGACUAGCUCGUUGAUCAACAGAUAGUCAUGGUUUCCUGACUAUGGACAUUGGAUGUCAUUGAUAACGGGAUCACAUCAUUAGGAGAAUGAUGUGAUGGACAAGACCCAAUCCUAAGCAUAGCAUAAAAGAUCGUGUAGUUUCGUUUGCUAGUGCUUUUCCAAUGUCAAGUAUCUUUUCCUUAGACCAUGAGAUCGUGCAACUCCCGGAUACCGUAGGAGUGCUUUGGGUGUGCCAAACGUCACAACGUAACUGGGUGACUAUAAAGGUGCACUACGGGUAUCUCCGAAAGUGUCUGUUGGGUUGGCACGGAUCGAGACUGGGAUUUGUCACUCCGUGUGACGGAGAGGUAUCUCUGGGCCCACUCGGUAAUGCAUCAUCAUAAUGAGCUCAAUGUGACUAAGGCGUUAGUCAUGGGAUCAUGCAUUGCGGUACGAGUAAAGAGACUUGCCGGUAACGAGAUUGAACAAGGUAUUGGGAUACCGACGAUCGAAUCUCGGGCAAGUAACAUACCGAUUGACAAAGGGAAUUGCAUACGGGAUUGAUUGAAUCCUCGACACCGUGGUUCAUCCGAUGAGAUCAUCGUGGAACAUGUGGGAGCCAACAUGGGUAUCCAGAUCCCGCUGUUGGUUAUUGACCGGAGAGGCGUCUCGGUCAUGUCUGCAUGUCUCCCGAACCCGUAGGGUCUACACACUUAAGGUUCGGUGACGCUAGGGUUGUAGAGAUAUGUGUAUGCGGAAACCCGAAAGUUGUUCGGAGUCCCGGAUGAGAUCUCGGACGUCACGAGAGGUUCCGGAAUGGUCCGGAGGUGAAGAAUUAUAUAUAGGAAGUCAAGUUUCGGCCACCGGGAAAGUUUCGGGGGUUACCGGUAUUGUACCGGGACCACCGGAAGGGUCCCGGGGGUCCACCGGGUGGGGCCACCUAUCCCGGAGGGCCCCGUGGGCUGAAGUGGGAAGGGAACCAGCCCUAGUGGUCUGGGCGCCCCCCAUGGGCCUUCCCCCCAUGCGCCUAGGGUUGGGAACCCUAGGGUGGGGGGCUUCCCACUUGCCUUGGGGGGCAAGGCACCCCCCUGGGCCGCCGCCCCCCACCCUAGAUGGGUUUGGCCNNNNNNNNNNGGGGGGGGAGGGAGGGCAGCAACAUCUCAGCCUUGGGCGCCUCCCUCCUCCCCUGCAACACCUCUCUCUCUCGUAUAAGCUCGGCGAAGCCCUGCCGACAUCCCGCUGCAUCCACCACCACGCCGUCGUGCUGCUGGAUCUCCAUCAACCUCUCCUUUCCCCUUGCUGGAUCAAGAAGGAGGAGACGUCGCUGCACCGUACGUGUGUUGAACGCGGAGGUGCCGUCCGUUCGGCACUCGGUCAUCGGUGAUUUGGAUCACGGCGAGUACGACUCCGUCAUCCACGUUCAUUGGAACGCUUCCGCUCGCGAUCUACAAGGGUAUGUAGAUGCACUCCUUUCCCCUCGUUGCUAGUAUACUCCAUAGAUGCAUCUUGGUGAGCGUAGGAAAAUUUUAAAUUAUGCUACGAGUUCCAACAGUGGCAUCAUGAGCCAGGCCUAUGCGUAGUUACUAUGCACGAGUAGAACACAAAGCAGUUGUGGGCAUUGAGUUUGCCAAUUCUUCUUGCCGCUACUAGUCUUUUCUUGUUUCGGCGGUAUUGUAGGAUGAAGCGGCCCGGACCGACCUUACACGUACGCUUACGUGAGACAGGUUCCACCGAUUGACAUGCACUAGUUGCAUAAGGUGGCUAGCAGGUGUCUGUCUCUCCUACUUUAGUCGGAACGGAUUCGAUGAAAAGGGUCCUUAUGAAGGGUAAAUAGAAAUUGGCAAAUCACGUUGUGGUCAUACGUAGGUAAGAAACGUUCUUGCUAGAAACCUACAAACCACGUAAAAACUUGCAACAACAAUUAGAGGACGUCUAACUUGUUUUUGCAGCAUGUGUGAUGUGAUAUGGCCAGAAGAUGUGAUGAAUGAUAUAUGUGAUGUAUGAGAUUGAUCAUAUUCUUGUAAUAGGAAUCACGACUUGCAUGUCGAUGAGUAUGACAACCGGCAGGAGCCAUAGGAGUUGUCUUUAUUAUUUUGUAUGACCUGCGUGUCAUUGAAUAACGCCAUGUAAAUUACUUUACUUUGUUGCUAAACGCGUUAGCCAUAGAAGUAGAAGUAAUCGUUGGCGUGACGACUUCAUGAAGACACAAUGAUGGAGAUCAUGAUGAUGGAGAUCAUGGUGUCAUGCCGGUGACGAAGAUGAUCAUGGUGCCCCGAAGAUGGAGAUCGAAGGAGCAUAAUGAUAUUGGCCAUAUCAUGUCACUAUUUGAUUGCAUGUGAUGUUUAUCAUGUUUUUGCAUCUUAUUUGCUUAGAACGACGGUAGUAAGUAAGAUGAUCCCUUAUAAUAAUUUCAAGAAAGUGUUCACCCUAACUAUGCACCGUUGUGAAGGUUCGUUGUUUCGAAGCACCACGUGAUGAUCGGGUGUGAUAGAUUCUAACGUUCGAAUACAACGGGUGUUGACGAGCCUAGCAUGUACAGACAUGGCCUCGGAACACACGCAAUACACUUAGGUUGACUUGACGAGCCUAGCAUGUACAGACAUGGCCUCGGAACACGGAGGACCGAAAGGUCGAGCAUGAGUCGUAUAGAAGAUACGAUCAACAUGGAGAUGUUCACCGAUCUUGACUAGUCCGUCUCACGUGAUGAUCGGACACGGCCUAGUUAAACUCGGAUCAUGUUUCACUUAGAUGACUAGAGGGAUGUCUAUCUGAGUGGGAGUUCAUUGAAUAAUUUGAUUAUAUGAACUUAAUUAUCAUGAACUUAGUCUAAAAUCUUUACACUAUGUCUUGUAGAUCAAAUGGCCAACGUUGUCCUCAAUUUCAACGCGUUCCUAGAGAAAACCAAGCUGAAAGAUGAUGGCAGCAACUAUACGGACUGGGUCCAGAACCUGAGGAUCAUCCUCAUAGUAGCCAAGAAAGAUUAUGUCUUAGAAGCACCGCUAGGUGACGCACCAAUCCCACAGAACCAAGACGUUAUGAACGCUUGGCAGCAGCGUGCUGAUGAUUACUCCCUCGUUCAGUGCGGCAUGCUUUACAGCCUAGAACCGGGUCUCCAAAAGCAUUUUGAGAAACAUGGAGCAUAUGAGAUGUUCGAGGAGCUGAAAUUGGUUUUCCAAGCUCAUGCCCGGGUCGAGAGAUAUGAAGUCUCCGACAAGUUCUUCAGCUGUAAAAUGGAGGAAAAUAGUUCUGUAAGUGAGCACAUACUCAGAAUGUCUGGGUUGCACAACCGCUUGACUCAGCUGGGAGUUAAUCUCCCGGAUGACGCGGUCAUUGACAGAAUCCUUCAGUCGCUUCCACCAAGCUUCAAGAGCUUUGUGAUGAACUACAAUAUGCAGGGGAUGGAAAAGACCAUUCCUGAGGUAUAUUCGAUGCUGAAAUCAGCGGAGGUGGAAAUCAGAAAAGAACAUCAAGUGUUGAUGGUGAAUAAAACCACUAAGUUCAAGAAGGGCAAGGGUAAGAAGAACUUCAAGAAGGACGGCAAGGGAGUUGCCGCGCCCGAUAAACCAGUUACCGGGAAGAAGCCAAGGAAUGGACCCAAGCCCGAGACUGAGUGCUUUUAUUGCAAGGGAAGUGGUCACUGGAAGCGGAACUGCCCCAAAUACUUAGCGGAAAAGAAGGCCGGCAACACCAAAGGUAUAUGUGAUAUACAUGUAAUUGAUGUGUACCUUACCAGUACUCGUAGUAGCUCCUGGGUAUUUGAUACCGGUGCAGUUGCUCACAUUUGUAACUCAAAACAGGAACUACGGAAUAAACGGAGACUGGCGAAGGACGAGGUGACGAUGCGCGUCGGGAAUGGUUCCAAGGUCGAUGUGAUUGCCGUCGGCACGCUACCUCUGCAUCUACCCACGGGAUUAGUUUUGAACCUCAAUAAUUGUUAUUUAGUGCCAGCUUUGAGCAUGAACAUUGUAUCUGGAUCUCGUUUAAUUCGAGAUGGCCACUCAUUUAAAUCCGAGAAUAAUGGUUGUUCUAUUUAUUUGAGAGAUAUGUUUUAUGGUCAUGCCCCGCUGGUCAAUGGUUUAUUUUUGAUGAAUCUCGAACGUGAUGUUACACAUGUUCAUAGUGUGAAUACCAAAAGAUGUAAAGUUGAUAACGAUAGUCCCACAUACUUGUGGCACUGCCGCCUUGGUCACAUUGGUGUCAAGCACAUGAAGAAGCUCCAUGCAGAUGGACUUUUGGAGUCUCUUGAUUACGAAUCAUUUGACACGUGCGAACCAUGCCUCAUGGGUAAGAUGACCAAGACUCCGUUCUCCGGAACAAUGGAGCGAGCAACCAACUUAUUGGAAAUCAUACAUACCGAUGUGUGCGGUCCAAUGAGUGUUGAGGCUCGCGGAGGAUACCGUUAUGUUCUCACUCUCACUGAUGACUUAAGUAGAUAUGGGUAUGUCUACCUAAUGAAACACAAGUCUGAAACCUUUGAAAAGUUCAAGGAAUUUCAGAGUGAGGUUGAGAAUCAACGUGACAGGAGAAUAAAAUUCUUACGAUCAGAUCGUGGUGGAGAAUAUUUAAGUCACGAGUUUGGUGCACACUUAAGGAAAUGUGGAAUAGUUUCACAACUCACGCCGCCUGGAACACCUCAGAGAAACGGUGUGUCCGAACGUCGUAAUCGCACUCUAUUGGAUAUGGUGCGAUCUAUGAUGUCUCUUACCGAUUUACCGCUCUCAUUUUGGGGCUAUGCUUUAGAGACUGCCGCAUUCACUUUAAAUAGGGGUCCGUCAAAAUCCGUUGAGACGACACCGUAUGAAUUAUGGUUUGGGAAGAAACCUAAGCUGUCGUUUCUAAAAGUUUGGGGAUGCGAUGCUUAUGUCAAGAAACUUCAACCUGAAAAGCUCGAACCCAAGUCGGAAAAAUGCGUCUUCAUAGGAUACCCCAAGGAAACUAUUGGGUAUACCUUCUACCUCAGAUCCGAAGGCAAGAUCUUCGUUGCCAAGAACGGGUCCUUUCUAGAGAAGGAGUUUCUCUCGAAAGAAUUGAGUGGGAGGAAAGUGGAACUUGAUGAGGUGAUAGUCACCCCUUCCGAACCGGAAAGUAGCGCAGCGCGGGAAGAUGUUCCUGUGGUGCCUACACCGACUGGGGAGGAAGUUAAUGAUGAUGAUCAUGAAGCUUCGGAUCAAGUUGCUACUGAACUUCGUAGGUCCACAAGGACAUGUUCCGCACCAGAGUGGUACGGCAACCCUGUCCUGGAAAUCAUGUUGUUAGACAACGGUGAACCUUCGAACUAUGAAGAAGCGAUGGCAGGCCCGGAUUCCGACAAAUGGCUAGAGGCCAUGAAAUCCGAGAUAGGAUCCAUGUAUGAAAACGAAGUAUGGACUUUGACUGACUUGCCCGAUGAUCGGCGAGCCAUAGAAAACAAAUGGAUCUUUAAGAAGAAGACAGACGCGGAUGGUAAUGUGACCAUCUAUAAGGCUCGACUUGUCGCUAAGGGUUAUCGACAAGUUCAAGGGGUUGACUACGAUGAGACUUUCUCACCCGUAGCGAAGCUGAAGUCCGUCCGAAUCAUGUUAGCAAUUGCCGCAUACUAUGAUUAUGAGAUAUGGCAGAUGGACGUCAAAACGGCAUUCCUUAACGGCUUCCUUAAGGAAGAGUUGUAUAUGAUGCAGCCGGAAGGUUUUGUCGAUCCUAAGAAUGGUAACAAAGUAUGCAAGCUCCAGCGCUCAAUCUAUGGGCUGGUGCAAGCAUCUCGGAGUUGGAACAUUCGUUUUGAUGAGAUGAUCAAAGCGUUUGGGUUUACACAGACUUAUGGAGAAGCCUGUGUUUACAAGAAAGUGAGUGGGAGCUCUGUAGCAUUUCUCAUUUUAUAUGUGGAUGACAUACUAUUGAUGGGAAAUGAUAUAGAAUUCUUGGAAAGUAUAAAGGCCUAUUUGAAUAAGUGUUUUUCAAUGAAGGACCUUGGAGAAGCUGCUUAUAUAUUAGGCAUCAAGAUCUAUAGAGAUAGAUCGAGACGCCUCAUUGGUCUUUCACAGAGUACAUACCUUGACAAGAUAUUGAAGAAGUUCAAUAUGGAUCAGUCCAAGAAGGGGUUCUUGCCUGUAUUGCAAGGUGUGCAAUUGAGCACGGCUCAAUGCCCGACCACGGCAGAAGAUAGAGAAAAGAUGAGUGUCAUCCCCUAUGCCUCGGCCAUAGGGUCUAUUAUGUAUGCCAUGCUGUGUACCAGACCUGAUGUAAACCUUGCCGUAAGUUUGGUAGGAAGGUACCAAAGUAAUCCCGGCAUGGAACACCGGACAGCGGUCAAGAAUAUCCUGAAGUACCUGAAGAGGACUAAGGAUAUGUUUCUCUUUUAUGGAGGUGACAAAGAGCUCGUCGUAAAGGGUUACAUCGACGCUAGCUUCGACACAGAUCUGGAUGACUCGAAGUCACAAACCGGAUACGUGUAUAUUUUGAAUGGAGGAGCAGUAAGCUGGUGCAGUUGCAAGCAAAGCGUCGUGGCGGGAUCUACAUGUGAAGCGGAGUACAUGGCACCCUCGGAGGCAGCAUAGGAAGCAGUCUGGAUGAAGGAGUUCAUUACCGACCUAGGGGUGAUUCCCAAUGCGUCGGGCCUGAUGACUCUCUUCUGUGACAACACUGGAGCUAUUGCCCUUGCGAAGGAGCCCAGGUUUCACAGGAAGACCAGGCAUAUCAAGCGUCGCUUCAACUCCAUUCGUGAAAGUGUUCAAAAUGGAGACAUAGAUAUUUGUAAAGUACAUACGGACCUGAAUGUAGCAGGUCCGUUGACUAAACCUCUCCCUAGAGCAAAACAUGAUCAACACCAGGACGCAAUGGGUGUUCGAUUCAUCACAAUGUAACUAGAUUAUUGACUCUAGUGCAAGUGGGAGACUGUUGGAAAUAUGCCCUAGAGGCAAUAAUAAAUGGUUAUUAUUAUAUUUCUUUGUUCAUGAUAAUCGUCUAUUGUUCAUGCUAUAAUUGUAUUGUCCGGAAAUCGUAAUACAUGUGUGAAUGCAUAGACCACAACGUGUCCCUAGUAAGCCUCUAGUUGACUAGCUCGUUGAUCAACAGAUAGUCAUGGUUUCCUGACUAUGGACAUUGGAUGUCAUUGAUAACGGGAUCACAUCAUUAGGAGAAUGAUGUGAUGGACAAGACCCAAUCCUAAGCAUAGCAUAAAAGAUCGUGUAGUUUCGUUUGCUAGUGCUUUUCCAAUGUCAAGUAUCUUUUCCUUAGACCAUGAGAUCGUGCAACUCCCGGAUACCGUAGGAGUGCUUUGGGUGUGCCAAACGUCACAACAUAACUGGGUGACUAUAAAGGUGCACUACGGGUAUCUCCGAAAGUGUCUGUUGGGUUGGCACGGAUCGAGACUGGGAUUUGUCACUCCGUGUGACGGAGAGGUAUCUCCGGGCCCACUCGGUAAUGCAUCAUCAUAAUGAGCUCAAUGUGACUAAGGCGUUAGUCACAGGAUCAUGCAUUGCGGUACGAGUAAAGAGACUUGCCGGUAACGAGAUUGAACAAGGUAUUGGGAUACCGACGAUCGAAUCUCGGGCAAGGAACAUACCGAUUGACAAAGGGAAUUGCAUACGGGAUUGAUUGAAUCCUCGACACCGUGGUUCAUCCGAUGAGAUCAUCGUGGAACAUGUGGGAGCCAACAUGGGUAUCCAGAUCCCGCUGUUGGUUAUUGACCGGAGAGGCGUCUCGGUCAUGUCUGCAUGUCUCCCGAACCCGUAGGGUCUACACACUUAAGGUUCGGUGACGCUAGGGUUGUAGAGAUAUGUGUAUGCGGAAACCCGAAAGUUGUUCGGAGUCCCGGAUGAGAUCCCGGACGUCACGAGAGGUUCCGGAAUGGUCCGGAGGUGAAGAAUUAUAUAUAGGAAGUCAAGUUUCGGCCACCGGGAAAGUUUCGGGGGUUACCGGUAUUGUACCGGGACCACCGGAAGGGUCCCGGGGGUCCACCGGGUGGGGCCACCUAUCCCGGAGGGCCCCGUGGGCUGAAGUGGGAAGGGAACCAGCCCUAGUGGUCUGGGCGCCCCCCAUGGGCCUUCCCCCCAUGCGCCUAGGGUUGGGAACCCUAGGGUGGGGGGCUUCCCACUUGCCUUGGGGGGCAAGGCACCCCCCUGGGCCGCCGCCCCCCACCCUAGAUGGGUUUGGCCAGCGCCCCCCCUCCCAAGGGGGCCUAUAUAAAGGGGGGGGAGGGAGGGCAGCAACAUCUCAGCCUUGGGCGCCUCCCUCCUCCCCUGCAACACCUCUCUCUCUCGUAUAAGCUCGGCGAAGCCCUGCCGACAUCCCGCUGCAUCCACCACCACGCCGUCGUGCUGCUGGAUCUCCAUCAACCUCUCCUUUCCCCUUGCUGGAUCAAGAAGGAGGAGACGUCGCUGCACCGUACGUGUGUUGAACGCGGAGGUGCCGUCCGUUCGGCACUCGGUCAUCGGUGAUUUGGAUCACGGCGAGUACGACUCCGUCAUCCACGUUCAUUGGAACGCUUCCGCUCGCGAUCUACAAGGGUAUGUAGAUGCACUCCUUUCCCCUCGUUGCUAGUAUACUCCAUAGAUGCAUCUUGGUGAGCGUAGGAAAAUUUUAAAUUAUGCUACGAGUUCCAACAAUUCUGGCAUUCUGCAGUUCAGUCCACAGAUACAACCCUUCCAUUUGAUACCAAUGCAUACUUAGUUUAGAUCUGAUGCUUGCGAGUACUUUGAAUGAGUACUCACGGUUGCUUUGCUACCCCUUUUCCCCCUUCCUUCUUCUUUCCGGUUGAUGCAACCAGAUGGUGGAUCCUUGGAGCCAGAUGCCACCGCCAAUGGAUACUACUACACGGAGGCCGCCAAAGACCAGGAGUAGUUAGGAGGUCCCAGGUAGGAGGCCUUGCCUCUUCGAUUGUUGCUUCUUUUGUGCUUGCCUUCUUAAGGCAGUCUUGGCUAACUUAUGUCUGUACUCAGAUAUUGUUGCUUCCGCUGACUCUUGUGUAUCGAGCUUGUAUUCGAGCCCUCGAGGCCCCUGGCUUGUAAUAUGAAGCUUGUAUUGUUUUAUUUGUGUCUAGAGUUGUGUUGUCAUAUCUUCCCGUGAGUCCCUGAUCUUGAUCGUACACAUUUGCGUGUAUGAUUAGUGUACGGUCGAAUUGGGGGCGUCACACUUCACAAACAAUUGAGGUCUCAAAUUGGAAUUUGGUCACCCAAUUUUGACCGGCUGAACAAUUUCUCAAAAUUCUCUCCUUCAAUUUUUUGUAUGAUACGCUAUGCUUCCUAAUUUUUAAAACUUCACAAUUAAUUGAAACUUCAAUUUAGAAAUGGGUCACUCGAUUUUGACCGGGUGAACAAUUUCUCAAGAAGCUCUCCCAUUUAAUUAUUUUAAUUCUCUAUGUUUCCCAAUUUUAAAGCUCUUUCAUUCGAUUGAGGUAUUCAUUUUUGGAUUUGUUUAUGAUUUUGAUCGGGCCAACGAAUUUUCAAAUUAAUCAGCAGCAACCGGCCUAUAAAAACAUAUCAACCCCGCGCAGACUCCCAUCACCUAGAAAAAAGCGCCACCUUGUGAUACUAUAGCACGAAUAUAGUACAUGCAACCACCGAUGCAAAAAAAAUCCUGCAUAAAUAUGUGUUAAUUAGCAAAUAACAUAGAAUCACACUACAAAAGGCCCACCAAAUAACCACAUUACAAAUAAACAUAAAACACACUUCAUCAUCUCCCCCAUCGACCAAACUAAAUAUUCCCUCGGUGUCAAACUAUAAGGGGUAUUAUUUUAUGGAAAGUAAAAUUUAUUUAACUUUGAACAAGUUUAGAGCCAAAAAUAUCGACAUCCGCAAUAUUAAACAAAAAUAUACGAAAAUUCAUUUCUUGAUGAAUCUAAUAACACCGAUUUGAUAUUAUGAAUUUUGAUUUAUUUCUCUACAAAUUUGAUCAAACUUAAAGAAGUUGAACUUUUCAAAAUAAUAAUACACCAUAUAUUUUGAAAUUCAGUGAGUAAAGAAAUAUAAGAAUCCCAACAACAUCAACGGCGCAGCAAAGCGCGCCCAACCCUUCUAGUAUAAGGAGAUACCCCCUGUGUUACUUAAUAGAAGGUGCAAUUGGUUUUUGAUAAAAUUCCAUAAUGUAAGGUGCAUUUCUUCUAAUUCAUCAAUAAUUCCGUUUUAUCACUGUAGAAAAAAAGGAAAGUAUCUCUCCUGAUUGCGUAAAUCUCUUACUUUUCUAGCCCAAAUGAUUUAGUUACCACUAAUCAAUGAUUUAGCCAAGGUUAAUUUUUUCCUAACUUGUGUAUAAUUAUGUGUCUUGGUCACCAUGCCAAAAAUUAUACACCUUACAUAAAGGAAUGGAGGGAGUAAAUUAUUAGAGGUUGACUAGAGAUGCUCUUAGUAUUUGUUAAUAAGAUGGCAUAUUGGGUAGUUUCAAAGGAACUCCGAGGGCAGAUGGUAUGGUGGGUGAAGUGGAGCAGGUAAAGCAACCAUUUCUCUGCUCCAGUAAAAUGAACUGGAUGUUACUCCAGCUCCAAUCCACUAAGGAAUUGAAGUUGAGGUGUUUGAAACAACUCUAAUGAAAUCAUGGAGUGGAGCAGUCCAAAACCUACCCUCAAUCCGACAAGAACCGACCAGGAGCAUAUCCUAUAUGUGAAGGUCGACCGUGUUUCCGGAUUGGUGGAUCUAGUUUAUUAAAUUGACUCGACGACUAGGGCUCCGGGGAACUAGUCCUUAAAGGCGCGUGCACAAAGACUUCUCCGGUGUAAUCGACGAAGUCAGGCCGGCUCCGACAAGCGGCGCGUGAGCGGCUCAUUCUGGCGGUAGUGGUCGUUUGAUGGUCCAAGAACCUCUAUGUAAUUUUUAUCAUGUUUGGGAUGCUUUGUACAUUUGGUGAACUAUUUUUAAAAAAGACUCCAAAUUCAUAUGACUGCGAUAGACCUUCAUAAUUGUUUGCCCUUAAUGUUUAAAGUAUGGUCGGUAGAAAGGUAGAAACUUAUGUCUACUCGUAUAUUUCCAGUAGCUAGUGCAAAUAGAUGUUGGUUUAUCAAGAUUCCAUGAAAACAUGAUGCAGAUACUGCACUAGGAUCAAUUUAUUUCUUCUAUCACCAAUUCAUCAUGAGCUAGCACACCAUAAAGACUUGGUAAAAAAGUACAAAUACAAAGACACACAUAUGCGCGAGAUCUAUUAAGCAGUGACAUCGAUCUUCAUGCCUUGCUGGCAGUGACCCGGAAGGCUACAGAUGAAGAAUGCUUUGCCUCUGCGGGCGAGCUGGAUGUGGUCAUUUCCGGAGGUGUAGGUCCUCGACGGGCCCGUGACCCUGCAUGAGUUGUAGUCGCCUUCUCCCACCUGCACCACAUUGUGCAUACUCGGGUUGUACUUGAACACUGCGUGCAUUAGUUAACACAAGAAUACAGAUCAGAACACAUUAUAUACAUCAAGAACAACCAAUCACUUGAUCUUUAGAGUUCUCACCAAGCACGUCACCGGACUGGAUGUGCUUGCCACUCUCCCAUCCGGAGACGCCGAAGCUCCAUCCCUUGUUGUCACCAACGGUCCACUCCUUGCCAUGGACGAUGGGGGUUGCGCAGCAAACGACCAGAAGCAGCACCAAAAGGGUGGGUACCAUGGUUGCCCGAGCCAUUGAUGGUGUUGCUCUUGACUUCUUGUUGAUACCGAAGAUCACAAGAAUAGAAAAGUGAAAUAGUGGUCGAUUCCUCGGUAGAAUGGUAGGAACUUAUGUCUACUUGUAUAUUAACAGUAGCUAGUCCAAAUAGAUGUUGGUUUAUCAAGAUUCCAUGAAAACAUGAUGCAUGCACUGCACUAGGAUCAAUUUAUUUCUUCUAUCACCAAUUCAUCAUGACCUAGCACACCAUAAAGACUUGGUAAAAAAGUACAAAAUACAAAGACACGCAUAUGCACGAGAUCUAUUAAGCAGUGACAGCAAUCUUCAUGCCUUGCUGGCAGUGACCCAGAAGGCUGCAGAUGAAGAACGCUUUGCCUCCGUGGGAGAGCUGGAUGUGGUCAUUGCCGGAGGUGUAGGUCCUCGACGGGCCCGAGACCCUGCAUGAGUUGUAGUCGCCUUCUCCCACCUGCACCACAUUGUGCAUACCCGGGUUGUACUUGAACACUGCGUGCAUUAGUUAACACAAGAAUACAUAUCAGAACACAGUAUAUACAUCAAGAACAACCAAUCACUUGAUCUUUAGAGUUCUCACCAAGAAUGUCGCCGGACUGGAUGUGCUUGCCACUCUCCUAUCCGGAGACACCGAAGCACCAUCCCUUGUUGUCACCAACGGCCCACUCCUUGCCAUGGACGAUGGUGGUUGCGCAGCAAACGACCAGAAGCAGCACCAAAAGGGUGGGUACCAUGGUUGCCCGUGCCAUGGAUGGUGUUGCUCUUGACUUCUUGUUUAUUCUGAAGAUCACAAGAAAAAAAGUGAAAUAGUGGUCGAUUCCUGAAGUGAUGGCUUGCGUUCGGUCUCCUUCUCGUAUGAUAUAUAUAGGCGGUCAGCUAAAACUAUUGUUUUAAUGUUCUCAAAUAAUGAAGAUCUUGCCUUAAAUAAGACAAAUCAACAUUUGUGAUAUGCAACAUUAGUUAGUAUAUGCUACCAAAUCCUCCAACUUGUACAAUCUGAUCUUGGAUUAAUUGAAAUGAACGAGGAUGCAUUUAUUUCCUACUUUCAUGAUUUAGUAAAUAUUUAUUUUUCCUGGAUGCAUUAGUAGUAUAUCAGAAAUUGAUAUAUACUAUUACUAGAUGAUAUAAUUGUAAUAAUAACAUUUUAAAAUACAAAAUUAUUUUUUUAUAAGGAGAAGUCCCUAUCUUGACUUUUCAACCAUAGGUGCUAAAGCGAUUGGAGGCCAUGAUUUGCGAUUGUUUAGUCUCAAAUAAUUUGAAAUUGAUAGGAAUAUUUUCAAUAAAUGGAGUUCAAAUGAAUUUCAGAAGUUGGAAAAUUGAAUGCAUUAGGUUCAAAUAAGAAUUUUAGGCUAGGUUAAUUUGGAGCAAUUGCAAAACAAAAGAGCCCCGACUGGUUUACAAAGCAGUAAAACCGACGAGAUUCAGAAGGAUCUAAUUGAGAGGAAAAUUUGUGAGAGUUACCAAGAACUUGUAGCCACUUGGGAUGGAGACGAUGACCUUAAGGGCGCCCUCUGUGAAAACUCCUCAACUACACCUGAUCGACGAAAUUAGCCCUAAACUAACCAUCGUGGCACAAACUGGAAUGACCUACUGAUAACCCUCAAGUAUAGGGGAUCGCGAUUCAAGAGUAGCAUUUCACCCAAAUUUAUUGAUUCAACACAAGGGGAGCCAAAGAAUAUUUAUGAACCUUAGCAGUUGAGUUGUCAAUUCAACCACACCUGGGAGAUUAUAUUUGUGCAACAAAGUGUUUAGUAACAUGGUAGUUUGAUAGUUUUGAUAGUAGCAGUAACAGUAGCAAUAGUAACAGGAACUGUAACAAUAGCAGUUUGUGAUGAUUGUAACAAUAGCAGCAAGAGUAACUUAGCAAAGACCAAUAUGAGAAAAGCAUAGGAAUUGGGUCAGGCGAUGCAUAUUUGUGUUGGUUGACACUCAUCAUAUAGCAGUCACUACCUAGAGUGAUACACAAUAGCUCCAAUUCAUCAAUGUAAUAUAGGCAUGUAUUCCGUAUAUAGUCAUACACGCUUAUAAUAAGAAAUUGCAUGACAUCUUUUGUCCUACCCUCCCGUGGCAGCGGGGUCCGUAAGGAAACUAAGAGAUAUUAAGGCCUCCUUACAAUAGUGAACCGGAACAAAACAUUAACACAUGGUGAAUACAUGAACUCCUCGAAUUACAGUCAUUCCCAGAGAGUAUCCCAAUUAUUGUCACUUUGGGGUCUAAGGACCAGAACAAUAACAAGAGCAUAUAACUAGCAGAUAGGAUCAGGAACUCAAAUAUAUUCAUGAAAACAUAGAGGGUUCAGAUCUGAAAUCAUGGUAAUCGGGUCUUAGUGACAAGCGUUAAGCAUAUCAAAGUCAUAGAAACAUCAAUCUUGGAACAUAGUGGAACUAGGGAUCAAGCCCUAACAAAUUGAAUCGUUUGCAUGACAAAUCUCAUCCAACUCCAUCAUCGUCCAGCAAUCCUAUGAAGAAAUUACUCAAUCCCAGUGGUGAGCAUCAUGGAAUUGUUGAUGAUGAUGACGAUGACGAAUCCCCCUCUUCGGAGCCCAAAACAAACUCAUCAGCCCUCCGGAUGAAGAACAGGAGGUGUCGGCAGCUCCGUCUCACAAAACAUGAUGAAACUUUCUCUCUGAUUUUUCUCUCCGUGAGACGAUAUUUAUGGAGUUCGAAUUAGGGAAAACGGAGGCUCGUGGAGCCCAUGAACUCACAAGGCGGUCCCUGGGAAGGAUUGGGUGGGCAUGCUCCCUGAGCUCAUGGUUCCUGAGUGGCCCCCUCCAGUAGGUCUCUUCGCCAAUAUUUUUUCAUAUUUUUCAGAAAUAAUCUCCGUAAAAUUUCAGCCCAAUCUGAGAGCUUUUAUUUCCGCACAAAAAUAAGACCAUGACGAUUCUGCUGAAAAAGCGUCAAUCUAGGUUAGUUUCAUUCAAAUCAUGCAAAUUAGAGUCCGAAGCAAUAGUAAAAGUGUUUGGAAAAGUAGAUACGUUUGGGAUGUAUCAACUCACUAAGCUUAUCUCAUUGCUUGUACUCAAGGAAUUUAGUAGAUAAACUAAAAGUGAUAAAGAAAAACUUCUACAAACUCUUUCGUUCUCAGUGUUGUAUAGAUGCUUAACUAGUGUUCAAUUUUUCAGCAAAGAUUAUGAACAAACCACAUGAAUGAUAACACUUAGGUCUCAUUUUUACUCAUGAGAACAACACAACCAACUAAUGAUCAAUAACAAGAUAUCUCGGAUGCCAACAAUUUGUCAAAAUAAUUAAGAUAUACUAUAUCACUAAGCUCCCUAGGAUUGGAGGCCUCACAAUCAAUUGAGGUCUCCAAUUGGAAUUUGGUCACCCAAUUUUGACCGGGUCAACAAUUUCUCAAAAUUCUCUCCUUCAUUUUUUAUAAUACGCUAUGCUUCCUAAUUUUUAAAGCUUCACAAUUAAUUGAAACUUCAAUGUAGAAUUGGGUCACUCGAUUUUGACCGGGUGAACAAUUUCUCAAGGAGCUCUCCCAUUUAAUUAUUUUAAUUCUCUAUGUUUCCCAAUUUUAAAGCUCUUUCAUUCGAUUGAGGUAUUCAAUUCUGGAUUUGUUUAUGAUAUUGAUCGGGCCAAUGAUUUUUCAAAUUAAUCAGCAGCAACCGGCCUAUAAUAACAUAUCAACCCCGCGCAGACUCCCAUCACCUAGAAAAAAGUGCCACCAUGUGAUACCACGAAUAUAGUACAUGCAACCACUGAUGCAAAAACAAUCCCGCAUAAAUAUGUGUUAAUUAGCGGAUAACGUAGAAUCAUACCACAAAAGGCCCACCAAAUAACCACAUUAAAAAUAAACAUAAAACACACUUCAUCAUCUCCCCCAUCGACCAACCUUUCCCCUCCGUUUCAUCUGUCCGAAAAUGCCUAACUUCGGGAAAACUUUUCGGACGUUAUCCCCCUUCGGCGGUACCGGGUAACACCGCGUUAGAACACCCCUAGCGCUGCUUAUUGGCUUGUCAUGCUUAGUAUUGCACUUGUUUGCCCUGUAUUUACUGUGUUUUCCCCCUCUUCUCUCCGGUAGACCCCGAGACCGCUGCUGAUGCCCCUGUGAUCGACUACGUCGACGACGACCCUUCUCCCCUUUCAUCGGAGCUUCCAGGCAAGCCCCCCCUUUGAUCAUCCCGAUAUCGCCCAUUCCAUUCUCUCAUGCUUGCAUUAGAUUUUGCUACUGUUAUUGUUUGCUCCUAUUCUGAUGCAUAGCUUGCUUUUGUACCUGCUAUUGUUACCUACCUGCUUGUCCUAAACUGCUUAGUAUAGGUUGGUUAGAGAUCCAUCAGUGACCCCCACUUGUCCUUGUUGCCCCUGCUUCAUCAACGAUGCCUCGAUCAUCGUGAUCGACGACCAGAGCCUGACACCUCACAUCACAUCACGCCCCUUUAGUUGCUCGACUCUGCAGAGCUACUAUCGAGUGCCGAGGGUGAUCCCUCAUAACGCACUCCUGAUGAUAAUUCUGUAGUGUAGCUAUUCGGUCGUGGUCAACGGGGGUGGUUCCUCUUUCACCAUUCCUGAUACGGCUCUAUCGUGCAACACCUCAAGUGUGAUCCUCGAGGGUGGUCCCUCUUACGUUCACCUUGACGUUUACAUUGAGUGGAAUCCACUGGGGGUGAUUGCUCGGGUUUUCUUCCUUGAUGUUUUGGACACACGGUUACCUUGACUUUACUUGAGACCAUUGUUGAAGUCGGGUCGGCCCUAAGGGGUACCCGCGAGUUGAUGUGAAAGCCGGGCGGGCCCGGAGAGCACCCGUGCGUUGUGACAGUGCCGGAUGGCCGUUUAGCGGUAUCACCCAGGAAGGGGUGAUAGUUCUAGACUUGUCCCGACAGCCAUCACUACUUUAAUUGUUAAUGCACUAACUGGUUUGGGUAUUUGUUCUGAAUUGGCCUUUGUCCUUUACGCACUAACCACCACGCGAGAAUAGUUAUGGGCCUCGACGUCGCAGUAUCAGCCGAAGCUUUGUCAGACGGCCAGUUCAGUAUUGCGGCACGGCUGGGCCGGCACCAUCCUGUAGUGGUGGAGCCUGGACCCGCCCUACAUGUAACGACCCGGAGUGCAACGGGCGAUGGACCCAGACCCCGGAGUGCUUAGGAUGUAGACCGGCGGGGACCUCUCUGCUGAGCCUAGGUAGGGUUGCGACGUGUUGAUCUUCCGAGGCCGGGCAUUGACCCCAGAAAGGUGUGUCCGGCCAGAGUGAUCGAGCGUGUUGGAAAACGUGGUGCACCCCUGCAGGGAAGAUAUAUAUUCGAAUACCGUGUCCACGGUAAUGGACGUUCAGACUUGUAUCCUGAUCUUAUACAACUAGAAAUGGAUACUUGAUAUGUGAUGGAUAUCUGGCCCCGGGAUUGCUUUCUCGUAGGGAGUCGAGGAAGGAUCUCUGGGCGUUAAUGCUACAACAUGUUUGUUAAAUAUAAACUACUAUUCUUUACUCGUCUACAUGCUGCAAGAUGCUUGGAGCUGCUUGAAGAUGCUAGUCUUUGAUAGGCUAGGCCUUCCCCCCUAUUCCGGCAUUCUGUAGUUCAGUCCACAGAUACAACCCUUCCAUUUGAUACCAAUGCAUACUUAGUUUAGAUCUGAUGCUCGUGAGUUCUUUGGAUGUGUACUCACGGUUGCUUUGCUACCCCUUUUCCCCCUUCCUUCUUCUUUCCGGUUGAUGCAACCAGAUGGUGGAUCCUUAGAGCCAGAUGCCACCGCCAAUGGAUACUACUACACGGAGGCCGCCGAAGACCAGGAGUAGUUAGGAGGUCCCAGGUAGGAGGCCUUGCCUCUUCGAUUGUUGCUUCUUUUGUGCUUGCCUUCUUAAGGUAGUGUUGUCUAACUUAUGUCUAUACUCAGAUAUUGUUGCUUCCGCUGACUCUUGUGUAUCGAGCUUGUAUUCGAGCCCUCGAGGCCCCUGGCUUGUAAUAUGAAGCUUGCAUUGUUUUAUUUGUGUCUAGAGUUGUGUUGUGAUAUCUUCCCGUGAGUCCCUGAUCUUGAUCGUACACAUUUGCGUGUAUGAUUAGUGUACGGUCGAAUUGGGGGCGUCACACUUCACAAUCAAUUGAGGUCUCCAAUUGGAAUUUGGUCACCCGAUUUUGACCGGGUCAACAAUUUCUCAAAAUUCUCUCCUUCAAAUUUUUGUAUAAUACACUAUGCUUCCUAAUUUUUAAAACUUCACAAUCAAAUUGAAACUUCAAUUUAGAAAUGGGUCACUCGAUUUUGACCGGGUGAAGAAUUUCUCAAGAAGCUCUCCCAUUUAAUUAUUUUAAUUCUCUAUGUUUCCCAAUUUUAAAGCUCUUUCAUUCGAUUGAGGUAUUCAUUUUUGGAUUUGUUUAUGAUUUUGAUCGGGCCAACGAAUUUUCAAAUUAAUCAGCAGCAACCGGCCUAUAAAAACAUAUCAACCCCGCGCAGACUCCCAUCACCUAGAAAAAAGUGCCACCGUGUGAUACUAUAGCACGAAUAUAGUACAUGCAACCACCGAUGCAAAAAAAAAAUCCGGCAUAAAUAUGUGUUAAUUAUGAGAUAACGUAGAAUCACACCACAAAAGGCCCACCAAAUAACCACAUUACAAAUAAACAUAAAACACACUUCAUCAUCUCCCCCAUCGACCAAACUAAAUAUUCCCUCGGUGUCAAAAUAUAAGGGGUAUUAUUUUAUGGAAAGUAAAAUUUCUUUAACUUUGAACAAGUUUAGAGCCAAAAAUAUCGACAUCCGCAAUAUUAAACAAAAAUAUACGAAAAUUAAUUUCUUGAUGAAUCUAAUAACACCGAUUUGAUAUUAUGAAUUUUGAUUUAUUUAUCUACAAAUUUGAUCAAACUUAAAGAAGUUUAACUUUUCAAAAUAAUAAUACGCCAUAUAUUUUGAAAUUCAGUGAGUAAAGAAAUAUAAGAAUCCCAACAACAUCAACGGCGCAGCAAAGCGCGCCCAACCCUUCUAGUAUAAGGAGAUACCCCCUUUGUUACUUAAUAGAAGGUGCAAUUGGUUUUUGAUAAAAUUCCAUAAUGUAAGGUGCAUUUCUUCUAAUUCAUCAAUAAUUCUGUUUUAUCACUGUAGAAAAAAGGAAAGUAUCUCUCCCGAUUGCGUAAAUCUCUUACUUUUCUAGCCCAAAUGAUUUAGUUACCACUAAUCAAUGAUUUAGACAAGGUUAAUUUUUUCCUAACUUGUGUAUAAUUAUGUGUCUUGGUCACCAUGCCAAAAAUUAUACACCUUACAUAAAGGAAUGGAGGGAGUAAAUUAUUAGAGGUUGACUAGAGAUGCUCUUAGUAUUUGUUAAUAAGAUGGCAUAUUGGGUAGUUUCAAAGGAACUCCGAGGGCAGAUGGUAUGGUGGGUGAAGUGGAGCAGGUAAAGCAACCAUUUCUCUGCUCCAGUAAAAUGAACUAGAUGCUACUCCAGCUCCAAUCCACUAAGGAAUUGAAGUUGAGGUGUUUGAAACAAAUCUAUUGAAAUCAUGAAUUGGAGCAGUCCAAAACCACCCUCAAUCCGACAAGAACCAACCAGGAGCAUAUCCUAUAUGUGAAGGUCGACCGUGUUACUGGAUUGGUGGAUCUAGUUUGUUAAGUUGACUCGACGACUAGGGCUCCGGGGCACUAGUCCUUAAGGGCGCGUGCACGAAGACUUCUCGGGUGUAAUCGACAAGGUCAGGCCGGCUUCGACAACCAGCGCGUGAGCGGCUCAUUCUGGCGGUAGUGGUCGUUUGAUGGUCUAAGAACUUCUAUGUAUUUUUUAUCAUGUUUGGGAUGCUUUGUACAUUUGGUGAACUAUUUUUAAAAAAGACUCCGAAUUCAAUUGACUGUGAUAGACCAUCAUAAUAGUUUGCCCUUUAUGUUUAAAGUAUGGUCGGUAGAAUUGUAGAAACUUAUGUCUACUUGUAUAUUAACAGUAGCUAGUGCAAAUAGAAGUUGGUUUAUCAAGAUUCCAUGAAAACAUGAUGCAGAUACUGCACUAGGAUCAAUUUAUUUCUUCUAUCACCAAUUCAUCAUGAGCUAGCACACCAUAAAGACUUGUAAGAAAGUACAAAUACAAAGACGCACAUAUGCGCCAGAUCUAUUAAGAAGUGAC